AGAGAGAGGAGAGAGUGGAGACAGAGGAGAGAGAGGAGAGAGGAAUGAGUGGAGAGAGAUGAGAGAGUGGAGACAGAGGAGAGAGUGGAGACAGAGGAGAGAGGAAUAAGUGGAGAGAGAGGAGAGAGUGGAGACAGAGGAGAGAGAGGAGAGAGGAAUGAGUGGAGAGAGAGGAGAGAGUGGAGACAGAGGAGAGAGAGGAGAGAGGAAUACGUGGAGAGAGAGAGGAGACAGAGGAGAGAGAGGAGAGAGGAAUGAGUGGAGAGAGAGGAGAGAGUGGAGAGAGGAAUAAGUGGAGAGAGAGGAGAGAGUGGAGACAGAGGAGAGAGAGGAGAGAGGAAUGAGUGGAGAGAGAGGAGAGAGUGGAGACAGAGGAGAGAGAGGAGAGAGGAAUACGUGGGAGAGAGAGGAGACAGAGGAGAGAGAGGAGAGAGGAAUGAGUGGAGAGAGAGGAGACAGAGGAGAGAGAGGAGAGAGAGGAGAGAUGAAUAAGUGGAGAGAGAGGAGAGAGGAAUAAGUGGAGAGAGAGAGGAGUAAGUGGAGAGAGAGGAGAGAGGAAUAAGUGGAGAGAGAGGAGAGAGUGGAGACAGAGGAGAGAGAGGAGAGAGGAAUGAGUGGAGAGAGAGGAGAGAGUGGAGAGAGGAAUGAGUGGAGAGAGAGGAGAGAGUGGAGACAGAGGAGAGAGUGGAGACAGAGGAGAGAGGAAUAAGUGGAGAGAGAGGAGAGAGUGGAGACAGAGGAGAGAGAGGAGAGAGGAAUGAGUGGAGAGAGAGGAGAGAGUGGAGACAGAGGAGAGAGAGAGAGAGAGGAAUACGUGGAGAGAGAGGAGAGAGAGGAGAGAGGAAUAACUGGAGAGAGAGGAGAGAGUGGAGACAGAGGAGAGAGAGAGAGAGGAAUGAGUGGAGAGAGAGGAGAGAGUGGAGACAGAGGAGAGAGAGGAGAGAGGAAUAGUGGAGAGAGAGAGGAGACAGAGGAGAGAGAGGAGAGAGGAAUGAGUGGAGAGAGAGGAGAGAGUGGAGAGAGGAAUAAGUGGAGAGAGAGGAGAGAGAGGAGAGA
Molecule: long non-coding RNA, 1056 nt
Organism: Oncorhynchus tshawytscha (Chinook salmon)
Lineage: Eukaryota; Metazoa; Chordata; Actinopteri; Salmoniformes; Salmonidae
Source: Ensembl